This 497-nucleotide ribosomal RNA is filed under the name uncultured bacterium. Its description in RNAcentral is "partial 16S ribosomal RNA". It matches the Rfam family "Bacterial small subunit ribosomal RNA", at positions 28 to 507 of the family's 1533-position model. The record is from RNAcentral.
GAUGAACGCUGGCGGCGUGCCUAAUACAUGCAAGUCGAGCGAACGGACGAGAAGCUUGCUUCUCUGAUGUUAGCGGCGGACGGGUGAGUAACACGUGGAUAACCUACCUAUAAGACUGGGAUAACUUCGGGAAACCGUAGCUAAUACCGGAUAAUAUUUUGAACCGCAUGGUUCAAAAGUGAAAGACGGUCUUGCUGUCACUUAUAGAUGGAUCCGCGCUGCAUUAGCUAGUUGGUAAGGUAACGGCUUACCAAGGCAACGAUGCAUAACCGACCUGAGAGGGUGAUCGGCCACACUGGAACUGAGACACGGUCCAGAGUCCUACGGGAGGCAGCAGUAGGGAAUCUUCCGCAAUGGGCGAAAGCCUGACGGAGCAACGCCGCGUGAGUGAUGAAGGUCUUCGGAUCGUAAAACUCUGUUAUUAGGGAAGAACAUAUGUGUAAGUAACUGUGCACAUCUUGACGGUACCUAAUCAGAAAGCCACGGCUAACUACGUG